GGGGAUGUUCCGGAUUCGAUCUCGGUUCGGAGGUUGCGACGGCACGCGGACGAUGACACUCGGCGUCCUAAAAUAUGUGUCAGCCAAUCAAAUGGCAAAACCAACACCAUCGCGUUCGAGCGCAGCAAUGCGCUCGCGCUUGCCGCCUGAAAGCUGCGGCACGGUCACGCCCGCCUACGCCUGCUAAGCGGCCGGGCUGUCAAAAAAGCAGGUAAAACCUCGCCCUUGUCGGCGUUCCCGUGAGGUUAAACUUGGGAAAGCCGAUAGGCGGUUCCGGGCGCCCUCGCCCCAAGAAACGCCGAAAUCCAAUCGAGCGGCUAAGCGUGUAGAAGUUUCAGCUGAAAGACCGGGAGACGCGGGUUCGACUCCCGCCAUCUCCACCA
This 383-nucleotide transfer-messenger RNA is filed under the name Opitutales. Its description in RNAcentral is "Spyradosoma merdigallinarum Standard tmRNA". It matches the Rfam family "transfer-messenger RNA". Rfam says of the family: Bacterial tmRNA, also known as 10Sa RNA or SsrA, is named for its dual tRNA and mRNA-like properties. Its role is to liberate the mRNA from a stalled ribosome. RNAcentral also lists the same sequence under 3 other names. The record is from RNAcentral. Lineage: Bacteria; Pseudomonadati; Verrucomicrobiota; Opitutia.